AGCGAACGCUGGCGGCAGGCCUAACACAUGCAAGUCGAACGAACUCUUCGGAGUUAUUUGCGGACGGGUGAGUAACACGUUGUAACGUUCCUUUUUGUUCGGAAUAACUCAGGUAAACUUGUUCUAAUACCGAAUGUGCCCUUCGUGGGUAAGAUUUAUCGCCAUUAGAGCGGCCCGCGUCUGAUUAGCUUGUUGGUGAGGUAACGGCUCACCAAGGCGAGGAUCAGUAGAUGGUAUGAGAGGAUGACCAGCCACACUGGGACUGAGACACGGCACAGACUAGUACGGGAGGGAGGAGAGGGGAAUAUAGCGAAAUGGGGGAAAGGCUGACGAAGCCAUGGGGGGUGAAUGAUGAAGGUCUUAGGAAAGAAAAAUUCUUUAAAAGGGGAAGAUAAUGACGGUAACGGGAGAAGAAGAAACGGCUAACUACGUG
RNAcentral lists this ribosomal RNA (433 nucleotides) under uncultured bacterium. RNAcentral describes it as "partial 16S ribosomal RNA". It matches the Rfam family "Bacterial small subunit ribosomal RNA", at positions 29 to 507 of the family's 1533-position model. The record is from RNAcentral.